RNAcentral lists this ribosomal RNA (253 nucleotides) under uncultured bacterium. Its description in RNAcentral is "partial 16S ribosomal RNA". It matches the Rfam family "Bacterial small subunit ribosomal RNA", at positions 524 to 776 of the family's 1533-position model. The record is from RNAcentral.
UACGAAGGUCCCAAGCGUUAUCCGGAUUUAUUGGGUUUAAAGGGUACGUAGGCGGGCUAUUAAGUCAGUGGUGAAAGCCUCAAGCUUAACUUGAGAAUUGCCAUUGAUACUGAUGACCUUGAGUACAUUUGAAGUGGGCGGAAUGUGUCAUGUAGCGGUGAAAUGCUUAGAUAUGACACAGAACACCGAUUGCGUAGGCAGCUCACUAAACUGUAACUGACGCUGAGGCACGAAAGCGUGGGGAGCAAACAGG